CCUACGGGCGGCAGCAGUGGGGAAUAUUGGACAAUGGGGGGAACCCUGAUCCAGCCAUGCCGCGUGUGUGAAGAAGGCCCUCGGGUUGUAAAGCACUUUCAGUGAGGAAGAACGCCUGGUGGUUAAUACCCAUCAGGAAAGACAUCACUCACAGAAGAAGCACCGGCUAACUCCGUGCCAGCAGCCGCGGUAAUACGGAGGGUGCGAGCGUUAAUCGGAAUUACUGGGCGUAAAGCGCGCGUAGGUGGCUUGAUAAGCCGGUUGUGAAAGCCCCGGGCUCAACCUGGGAACUGCAUCCGGAACUGUCAAGCUAGAGUGCAGUAGAGGAAGGUAGAAUUCCCGGUGUAGCGGUGAAAUGCGUAGAGAUCGGGAGGAAUACCAGUGGCGAAGGCGGCCUUCUGGACGGACACUGACACUGAGGUGCGAAAGCGUGGGUAGCAAACAGGAUUAGAUACCCUAGUAGUC
RNAcentral lists this ribosomal RNA (465 nucleotides) under Vreelandella stevensii. RNAcentral describes it as "partial 16S ribosomal RNA". It matches the Rfam family "Bacterial small subunit ribosomal RNA", at positions 338 to 795 of the family's 1533-position model. The record is from RNAcentral. Lineage: Bacteria; Pseudomonadati; Pseudomonadota; Gammaproteobacteria; Oceanospirillales; Halomonadaceae.